GGAGAGGUGGCCGAGCUGGCUUAAGGCGGUCGCCUGCUAAGCGACUAUGGGGUUUAUCGCUCCAUCCCGGGUUCGAAUCCCGGCCUCUCCGCCA
RNAcentral lists this transfer RNA (94 nucleotides) under candidate division WS1 bacterium. RNAcentral's name for it is "tRNA-Ser". It matches the Rfam family "tRNA". From Rfam's summary of the family: Transfer RNA (tRNA) molecules are approximately 80 nucleotides in length. Their secondary structure includes four short double-helical elements and three loops (D, anti-codon, and T loops). Further hydrogen bonds mediate the characteristic L-shaped molecular structure. tRNAs have two regions of fundamental functional importance: the anti-codon, which is responsible for specific mRNA codon recognition, and the 3' end, to which the tRNAs corresponding amino acid is attached (by aminoacyl-tRNA synthetases). tRNAs cope with the degeneracy of the genetic code in two manners: having more than one tRNA (with a specific anti-codon) for a particular amino acid; and 'wobble' base-pairing, i.e. permitting non-standard base-pairing at the 3rd anti-codon position. The record is from RNAcentral. Lineage: Bacteria; Bacillati.